CUUCCUUUUGCUGUUCAGGGGCAUGCUGGGCAUUGGUCAGAGGGUGGUAAGCAAUUGCUUGUGCAUCACUUCUUAUAUACGUUCAUAUAUAUAUGUAUAUACAUGCAUAUACAUAUAUUCAAACUGUUAUCCUUUUCUUUUUCUCUCUUAGUAUAUAGUUUUAUCUCAACACACAAGUACUACUUACUUCCAUCCCACUGGGCAGGAGGUAACGAGUGAGAAUGACUGAGCAGUGCCAAGGUACCCCCCGGGUUAAACCACAACAGAUAGUUACUGGCCUCUGGUCUUUGGGGAUUUUGUCUGUCUGCUGGCUGCCUCGGGCUAUUAACCUUCCAAAACAUUCACCUCGGAGGCUAAACUUCGCAGUACUUCAGCUUCAAUUCUGAGAAAUGUCUCUAUUCCACAACAACAUGAUAAGUGAGAGUGAAUUAAGUCCCUUGUGCACCAAAUGUAUUUUAUGAGGAUUUGCAAAAUGCAGCAGAAAUUUGGAGGAACUGACAACAGACCUCUCCGAAAGAAACCAGCGAAUUGUGAGACCAAGAUGAAGAAGUGUAUUCUCCUGGAUCCUCGGGUGGCUCAAUUCAGGUUGGCUGAGUUCAGUGCACCGGCUGAGAGCAGGGGCAGCCUGCCAGCACAGCUUCACUUUCUUUGA
This 652-nucleotide long non-coding RNA is filed under the name Coturnix japonica (Japanese quail). RNAcentral describes it as "lncRNA (ENSCJPG00005020949.1)". Lineage: Eukaryota; Metazoa; Chordata; Aves; Galliformes; Phasianidae. The record is from RNAcentral.